Molecule: ribosomal RNA, 804 nt
Filed under: uncultured bacterium
Lineage: Bacteria
Description: bacterial SSU rRNA
Rfam family: Bacterial small subunit ribosomal RNA
Source: RNAcentral
GGCGAACGGGUGAGUAACACGUGAGCAACCUACCCUUGACUCUGGGAUAACAGUUGGAAACAGCUGCUAAUACCGGAUACGACCCCGGCAGGCAUCUACCGGGGUGGAAAGCUCCGACGGUCAAGGAUGGGCUCGCGGCCUAUCAGCUUGUUGGUGGGGUAACGGCCCACCAAGGCGACGACGGGUAGCCGGCCUGAGAGGGCGACCGGCCACACUGGGACUGAGAUACGGCCCAGACUCCUACGGGAGGCAGCAGUGGGGAAUAUUGCGCAAUGGGCGAAAGCCUGACGCAGCAACGCCGCGUGCGGGAUGACGGCCUUCGGGUUGUAAACCGCUUUCAGCAGGGACGAAGGGUUUCUGACGGUACCUGCAGAAGAAGCACCGGCUAACUACGUGCCAGCAGCCGCGGUGAUACGUAGGGUGCGAGCGUUGUCCGGAAUUAUUGGGCGUAAAGAGCUUGUAGGCGGUCCGUUGCGUCGGAAGUGAAAACUCGGGGCUUAACCCCGAGCCUGCUUUCGAUACGUGCGGACUUGAGGGAUGUAGGGGAGAACGGAAUUCCUGGUGGAGCGGUGGAAUGCGCAGAUAUCAGGAGGAACACCAGUGGCGAAGGCGGUUCUCUGGACAUUUCCUGACGCUGAGAAGCGAAAGCGUGGGGAGCAAACAGGCUUAGAUACCCUGGUAGUCCACGCCGUAAACGGUGGGCACUAGGUGUGGGACCCAUUCCACGGGUUCCGUGCCGUAGCUAACGCAUUAAGUGCCCCGCCUGGGGAGUACGGCCGCAAGGCUAAAACUCAAAGGAAUUGA